Long non-coding RNA from Cicer arietinum (chickpea), 482 nucleotides. RefSeq lists it as uncharacterized. The record is from RefSeq and is a predicted model, not a curated record. Lineage: Eukaryota; Viridiplantae; Streptophyta; Magnoliopsida; Fabales; Fabaceae.
AAAAAAGCUCAUUUAAUACAACCCACUAAACUCGUCUCCUUCUUUUAUUAAACAUCGAAUCACGUUGACAAAAAAAAAAAACACCAAUACAUAACAAACAGAGCAAGAAAAAAAAAAACAUUAAGGGUAAUGCCCUUCUUCAAAAUAAUAUGUGUGCUUUGAUUACAUGUUUGUUAACAUUGUUGAUUAAAUGAACUAAUGACAAUGUCUUCAUCGGGUGUUAAAAGGAAGGAAAUAAGUUACACAAUUUCUGUUGAGUGGAUGAAGGACAAACUACUUUCUGCACAUGCACCCGUUGUGAUCAUCUAGAAUUAAAUUGGAAACUGUGUAUGAACAAAUUGUCUCCUUGGCUGAAUUGUGCUCCCAUUUUCUACCAAACCAUAAUUUAGAGUAUUGACUAUGUAAGUGGAAGUUUGGAUUCUAUAUGUAGCUUGUAGAUGAAAGAUUUCCUGGAAAUGUAUACUAAAAAUGACUUGGAAUUC